CAUGGCCGUCGUCAGUUCGUACUGUGAAGCAUCCUGUUAAGUCAGGCACGAGCGAGACCCACGUCCACAGUUGCCAGCAUACCCUCCGGGGUGAUGGGUACACUGUGGAGACCGCCGCUGCUAAAGCGGAGGAAGGAGUGGGCAACGGUAGGUCAGUAUGCCCCGAAUCUCCCGGGCUACACGCGGGCUACAAUGGUUGGUACAAUGGGCAUCUACCCCGAAAGGGGAAGGAAAUCUCUUAAAGCCAAUCGUAGUUCGGAUUGAGGGCUGCAACUCGCCCUCAUGAAGCUGGAAUCCGUAGUAAUCGCGUUUCAACAGAACGCGGUGAAUACGUCCCUGCUCCUU
Molecule: ribosomal RNA, 345 nt
Filed under: uncultured Methanosaeta sp.
Lineage: Archaea; Methanobacteriati; Methanobacteriota; Methanomicrobia; Methanotrichales; Methanotrichaceae
Description: bacterial SSU rRNA
Rfam family: Archaeal small subunit ribosomal RNA
Source: RNAcentral